RNAcentral lists this microRNA precursor (124 nucleotides) under Oryza sativa (Asian cultivated rice). RNAcentral's name for it is "miR5515 stem-loop (osa-MIR5515)". Lineage: Eukaryota; Viridiplantae; Streptophyta; Magnoliopsida; Poales; Poaceae. The record is from miRBase by way of RNAcentral.
AAAUUGUUUGGUUCAGUUGGGGAGACGAUCACGCCUUAAUUGGAAUGAGAGACUUCGGGAGUUUUAGUUAUUCUAUUUGGACACCCAAAUGGGCCGAUGGUUGUUCUACAGGUGAAAACAAUGU